AUUGAACGCUGGCGGAAUGCUUUACACAUGCAAGUCGCACGGCAGCACGGACUUCGGUCUGGUGGCGAGUGGCGAACGGGUGAGUAAUACAUCGGAACGUGCCCAGUCGUGGGGGAUAACGUAGCGAAAGCCACGCUAAUACCGCAUACGAUCUAAGGAUGAAAGCGGGGGAUCGGAAGACCUCGCGCGAUUGGAGCGGCCGGUGGCAGAUUAGGUAGUUGGUGGUGCAAAGGCUCACCAAGGCGACGAUCUGUAGCUGGUCUGAGAGGACGACCAGCCACACUGGGACUGAGACACGGCCCGGAGUCCUACGGGAGGCAGCAGUGGGGAAUUUUGGACAAUGGGCGCAAGCCUGAUCCAGCCAUUCCGCGUGCAGGAUGAAGGCCCUCGGGUUGUAAACUGCUUUUGUACGGAACGAAAAGCCUCUGGUUAAUACCUGGGGCUCAUGACGGUACCGUAAGAAUAAGCACCGGCUAACUACGUGCCAGCAGCCGCCGUAA
RNAcentral lists this ribosomal RNA (500 nucleotides) under uncultured bacterium. RNAcentral describes it as "partial 16S ribosomal RNA". It matches the Rfam family "Bacterial small subunit ribosomal RNA", at positions 30 to 523 of the family's 1533-position model. The record is from RNAcentral.